GUGCUUGCUUUGGCAGCACAUAUGCUAAAACUGGAAUGACACAGAGAAGAUUGGCAUGGCCCUUGCACAAGGAUGACACGCAAAAUACCAGCAACAUGAGCAGAAAAC
Small nuclear RNA from Nycticebus coucang (slow loris), 108 nucleotides. The record is from RefSeq and is a predicted model, not a curated record. NCBI's taxonomy places the organism in Eukaryota, Metazoa, Chordata, Mammalia, Primates, Lorisidae.